Molecule: ribosomal RNA, 254 nt
Filed under: uncultured prokaryote
Description: partial 16S ribosomal RNA
Rfam family: Bacterial small subunit ribosomal RNA
Source: RNAcentral
UACGGAGGAUGCGAGCGUUAUCCGGAUUUAUUGGGUUUAAAGGGUGCGUAGGCGGCUUAGUAAGUCAGCGGUGAAAUUUUGCAGCUUAACUGUAACAGUGCCGUUGAUACUGCCAGGCUAGGAUUUGGUUGCUGUGGGUGGAAUGUGUGGUGUAGCGGUGAAAUGCUUAGAUAUCAUACAGAAUAUCGAUUGCGAAGGCAGCUCACAAAGCCAAGAUUGACGCUGAGGCACGAAAGUGUGGGGAUCAAACAGGA